AGAUUGUAAAGCACAACUGUUAAUAAUGGGAGUUUUACGGUUACUCCUUGUGAUUUGUUUCAUCGGACUUGUAACCAGUGCAAGUAUACGAAGCGAUGGCGCUGGAUCAUUGCAGCCACGUGAUGAGCAGUCAGGAUUAACGGAGCCCGAAAGUCGCCCUGGUCAGUGUCUUUAUAAGGGUGUGUGGCACGAUACCGACAAGAGUUUUAGUGAUGAUUGUAAUACCUGCGGAUGCACUGAAACUGGGAUGGUAUGGUGCACCCUCGUGUUUUGUCAUGUACUAUGAGUGAUAAUAAA
Long non-coding RNA from Patella vulgata (common limpet), 297 nucleotides. RefSeq lists it as uncharacterized. The transcript is spliced from 3 exons. NCBI's taxonomy places the organism in Eukaryota, Metazoa, Mollusca, Gastropoda, Patellidae. The record is from RefSeq and is a predicted model, not a curated record.